GAUGAACGCUAGCUACAGGCUUAACACAUGCGAGUCGAGGGGAAACGACAUCGAAAGCUUGCUUUUGAUGGGCGUCGACCGGCGCACGGGUGAGUAACGCGUAUCCAACCUGCCCAUCACUUGGGAAUAACCUUGCGAAAGUAAGACUAAUACCCAAUGAUAUCCCACGAAGGCAUCGGAAUGGGAUUAAAGAUUUAUCGGUGAUGGAUGGGGAUGCGUCUGAUUAGCUUGUUGGCGGGGUAACGGCCCACCAAGGCAACGAUCAGUAGGGGUUCUGAGAGGAAGGUCCCCCACAUUGGAACUGAGACACGGUCCACACUCCUACGGGAGGCAGCAGUGAGGAAUAUUGGUCAAUGGGCGAGAGCCUGAACCAGCCAAGUAGCGUGCAGGAAGACGGCCCUAUGGGUUGUAAACUGCUUUUAUAAGGGAAUAAAGUGGGUCACGUGUGACUUUUUGCAUGUACCUUAUGAAUAAGGACCGGCUAAUUCCGUG
This 492-nucleotide ribosomal RNA is filed under the name uncultured bacterium. Its description in RNAcentral is "partial 16S ribosomal RNA". It matches the Rfam family "Bacterial small subunit ribosomal RNA", at positions 28 to 507 of the family's 1533-position model. The record is from RNAcentral.